GACGAACGCUGGCGGCGUGCUUAACACAUGCAAGUCGAACGGAAAGGCCCUGCUUUUGUGGGGUGCUCGAGUGGCGAACGGGUGAGUAACACGUGAGUAACCUGCCCUUGACUUUGGGAUAACUUCAGGAAACUGGGGCUAAUACCGGAUAGGAGCUCCUGCUGCAUGGUGGGGGUUGGAAAGUUUCGGCGGUUGGGGAUGGACGCGCGGCUUAUCAGCUUGUUGGUGGGGUAGUGGCUUACCAAGGCUUUGGCGGGUAGCCGGCAUGGGAGGGUGGACGGCGACAUUGGGACUGAGAUACGGCCCAGACUGCUACGGGGGGCAGCAGUGGGGAAUAUUGCACAAUGGGCGGAAGCCUGAUGAAGAAGCGCCGCGUGCGGGAUGACGGCCUUCGGGUUGUAAACCGCUUUAGCCUGUGACGAAGCGUGAGUGACGGUAAUGGGUAAAGAAGCACCGGCUAACUACGUG
RNAcentral lists this ribosomal RNA (468 nucleotides) under uncultured bacterium. RNAcentral's name for it is "partial 16S ribosomal RNA". It matches the Rfam family "Bacterial small subunit ribosomal RNA", at positions 28 to 507 of the family's 1533-position model. The record is from RNAcentral.